RNAcentral lists this ribosomal RNA (567 nucleotides) under Leptogium hildenbrandii. RNAcentral describes it as "eukaryotic LSU rRNA". It matches the Rfam family "Eukaryotic large subunit ribosomal RNA", at positions 681 to 1247 of the family's 3401-position model. Lineage: Eukaryota; Fungi; Ascomycota; Lecanoromycetes; Peltigerales; Collemataceae. The record is from RNAcentral.
UCCCCGCGAGUGUUCGGGCGUCAAACCCCCGGCGCGGAAUGAAAGUGAACGGAGGUGGGAGCCCCCGAACAGGGGCGCACCAUCGACCGAUCCUGAUGUCUUCGGAUGGAUUUGAGUAGGAGCGCGGCCGUUGGGACCCGAAAGAUGGUGAACUAUGCCUGGGUAGGGUGAAGCCAGAGGAAACUCUGGUGGAGGCUCGCAGCGGUUCUGACGUGCAAAUCGAUCGUCGAACCUGGGCAUAGGGGCGAAAGACUAAUCGAACCAUCUAGUAGCUGGUUCCUGUCGAAGUUUCCCUCAGGAUAGCAGUCGCGCGGGCGGUUUUAUGAGGUAAAGCGAAUGAUUAGAGGCCUUGGGGACGCAACGUCCUUAACCUAUUCUCAAACUUUAAAUAUGUAAGAAGCCCCUGUUGCUCCGGUGAACGGGGGCGUGCGAACGCGGCGCGGCUAGUGGGCCAUUUUUGGUAAGCAGAACUGGCGAUGCGGGAUGAACCGAACGCGGGGUUAAGGUGCCGGAAUGCACGCUCAUCAGACACCACAAAAGAUGUCAAUCCAUCCGGACAGCCGGACG